This 484-nucleotide ribosomal RNA is filed under the name uncultured bacterium. RNAcentral's name for it is "partial 16S ribosomal RNA". It matches the Rfam family "Bacterial small subunit ribosomal RNA", at positions 899 to 1397 of the family's 1533-position model. The record is from RNAcentral.
ACUCAAAUGAAUUGACGGGGGCCCGCACAAGCAGCGGAGCGUGUGGUUUAAUUCGACGCAACGCGAAGAACCUUACCAGGGCUUGACAUGCACAGGAAUGUCGGGGAAACCCGGCAGCCCUUCGGGGCCUGUGCACAGGUGCUGCAUGGCUGUCGUCAGCUCGUGCCGUGAGGUGUUGGGUUAAGUCCCGCAACGAGCGCAACCCCCGCCGCUAGUUGUACUUUUCUAGCGGGACCGCUGCGCGAAACGCAGAGGAAGGUGGGGAUGACGUCAAGUCAGCACGGCCCUUACGUCCUGGGCUACACACACGCUACAAUGGGCGGUACAAUGGGUUGCCAAGCCGCGAGGCGGAGCUAAUCCCAUCAAAACCGUCCUCAGUUCAGAUCGCAGGCUGAAACCCGCCUGCGUGAAGGCGGAGUUGCUAGUAACCGCAGGUCAGCACACUGCGGUGAAUACGUUCCCGGGCCUUGUACACACCGCCCGU